UCCAUCCCAUACAUUACAUCUUAAAGAAAUCGUAGUACCUUUGCUACUCGCUAACCACUAGGUGACUGCUCGAGUGGUUGUGCUAUUGCUUGCUGCAUACGAGGCACCGCUCGAGCGGUGGUGUUAUCAAACUGAAAUCUAUUCGUGAUUUUGGCAUUUUUUUACACUCCUAUUCUACCUCAGCACUCCAUUAUUUAUUAGGUCUAUUAUAUUAGGAUUCCAUCAUAUGUUAGACUCUUUUUGUAUAAUAUAUAUGAGUAAACUUG
This 266-nucleotide long non-coding RNA is filed under the name Olea europaea (common olive). RNAcentral describes it as "long non-coding RNA (OEUR_LNC007152)". Lineage: Eukaryota; Viridiplantae; Streptophyta; Magnoliopsida; Lamiales; Oleaceae. The record is from RNAcentral.